This 523-nucleotide ribosomal RNA is filed under the name uncultured bacterium. RNAcentral's name for it is "bacterial SSU rRNA". It matches the Rfam family "Bacterial small subunit ribosomal RNA", at positions 33 to 541 of the family's 1533-position model. The record is from RNAcentral.
GAUGAACGCUGGCGGCGUGCCUCAAACAUGCAAGUCGAGCGGGGCUAUGUAAUAUCGCAAGGUAGAACAUAGCCUAGCGGCGAACGGGUGAGUAACACGUGGGUAACCUGCCUGGAAGACAGGGAUAACGAUUCGAAAGGGUCGCUAAUACCUGAUAAUAUCCUUUCAUCGCAUGGUGAUAGGAAGAAAGGGGAAACCCGCUUUCAGAUGGGCCCGCGUCCCAUCAGCUAGUUGGUAAGGUAAAGGCUUACCAAGGCGACGACGGGUAGCCGGUCUGAGAGGAUGUACGGCCACACUGGGACUGAGAUACGGCCCAGACUCCUACGGGAGGCAGCAGUUGGGAAUCUUAGGCAAUGGACGAAAGUCUGACCUAGCGACGCCGCGUGAGGGAAGAAGGCCUUCGGUUGUAACCUCUGUCAUGGGGAAGAAGUAAGUGACGGUACCCGAACGAGGAAGACCCUGCUAACUACGUGCCAGCAGCCGCGGUAACUACGACGAGUAGUACGUAGAGGCGGCGUGGACG